Small nucleolar RNA from Pistacia vera, 107 nucleotides. NCBI's taxonomy places the organism in Eukaryota, Viridiplantae, Streptophyta, Magnoliopsida, Sapindales, Anacardiaceae. The record is from RefSeq and is a predicted model, not a curated record.
AGAACAUUAUGUGGACAUUUCCUUAAUAACUCCGUGUACCUUUCCCAAGCUUCAUAUAGUGAUUCAUCGUUGCCUUGCACGAAAGAGGUAAUGUCAUUUCUCAUACU